Molecule: ribosomal RNA, 510 nt
Filed under: Mycoplasma zalophi
Lineage: Bacteria; Bacillati; Mycoplasmatota; Mollicutes; Mycoplasmatales; Mycoplasmataceae
Description: bacterial SSU rRNA
Rfam family: Bacterial small subunit ribosomal RNA
Source: RNAcentral
CCGGGGCUCAACCCCGGUAUGCAUUAGAUACUGGCAAACUAGAAUUAGAUAGAGGUAAGCGGAAUUCCAUGUGAAGCGGUGAAAUGCGUAGAUAUAUGGAAGAACACCAAAGGCGAAGGCAGCUUACUGGGUCUAUAUUGACACUGAGGGACGAAAGCGUGGGGAGCAAACAGGAUUAGAUACCCUGGUAGUCCACGCUGUAAACGAUGAUCAUUAGUCGGUGGAUGAUUCACUGACGCAGCUAACGCAUUAAAUGAUCCGCCUGAGUAGUAUGCUCGCAAGAGUGAAACUUAAAGGAAUUGACGGGGACUCGCACAAGCGGUGGAGCAUGUGGUUUAAUUUGAAGAUACGCGGAGAACCUUACCCACUCUUGACAUCUUCCGCAAAGCUAUAGAGAUAUAGUGGAGGUUAACGGAAUGACAGAUGGUGCAUGGUUGUCGUCAGCUCGUGUCGUGAGAUGUUAGGUUAAGUCCUAUAACGAGCGCAACCCCUAUUUUUAGUUACUAACAG